GGAGAGUUACCCAAGUGGUGAAGGGGACAGUUUGCUAAACUGUUAGGUCGUGUAUGCGGCGCGAGGGUUCGAGCCCCUCACUCUCCGCCA
Molecule: transfer RNA, 90 nt
Filed under: Clostridia bacterium
Lineage: Bacteria; Bacillati; Bacillota; Clostridia
Also listed under: 1 other name
Description: tRNA-Ser
Rfam family: tRNA
About the family: Transfer RNA (tRNA) molecules are approximately 80 nucleotides in length. Their secondary structure includes four short double-helical elements and three loops (D, anti-codon, and T loops). Further hydrogen bonds mediate the characteristic L-shaped molecular structure. tRNAs have two regions of fundamental functional importance: the anti-codon, which is responsible for specific mRNA codon recognition, and the 3' end, to which the tRNAs corresponding amino acid is attached (by aminoacyl-tRNA synthetases). tRNAs cope with the degeneracy of the genetic code in two manners: having more than one tRNA (with a specific anti-codon) for a particular amino acid; and 'wobble' base-pairing, i.e. permitting non-standard base-pairing at the 3rd anti-codon position.
Source: RNAcentral